AUCUUCCACAAUGGGCGCGAGCCUGAUGGAGCAACGCCGCGUGUGUGAUGAAGGGUUUCGGCUCGUAAAACACUGUUAUAAGAGAAGAACGACAUUGAGAGUAACUGUUCAGUGUGUGACGGUAUCUUAUCAGAAAGGAACGGCUAAAUACGUGCCCGCAGCCGCGGUAAUACGUAUGUUCCAAGCGUUAUCCGGAUUUAUUGGGCGUAAAGCGAGCGCAGACGGUUAUUUAAGUCUGAAGUGAAAGCCCUCAGCUCAACUGAGGAAGGGCUUUGGAAACUGGAUAACUUGAGUGCAGUAGAGGAAAGUGGAACUCCAUGUGUAGCGGUGAAAUGCGUAGAUAUAUGGAAGAACACCGGUGGCGAAAGCGGCUUUCUGGACUGUAACUGACGUUGAGGCUCGAAAGUGUGGGUAGCAAAC
This 420-nucleotide ribosomal RNA is filed under the name uncultured bacterium. RNAcentral describes it as "bacterial SSU rRNA". It matches the Rfam family "Bacterial small subunit ribosomal RNA", at positions 361 to 773 of the family's 1533-position model. The record is from RNAcentral.